This 468-nucleotide ribosomal RNA is filed under the name uncultured bacterium. RNAcentral's name for it is "partial 16S ribosomal RNA". It matches the Rfam family "Bacterial small subunit ribosomal RNA", at positions 28 to 507 of the family's 1533-position model. The record is from RNAcentral.
GACGAACGCUGGCGGCGUGCUUAACACAUGCAAGUCGAACGGAAAGGCUCUGCUUUUGUGGGGUGCUCGAGUGGCGAACGGGUGAGUAACACGUGAGUAACCUGCCCUUGACUUUGGGAUAACUUCAGGAAACUGGGGCUAAUACCGGAUAGGAGCUCCUGCUGCAUGGUGGGGGUUGGAAAGUUUCGGCGGUUGGGGAUGGACUCGCGGCUUAUCAGCUUGUUGGUGGGGUAGUGGCUUACCAAGGCUUUGACGGGUAGCCGGCCCGAGAGGGUGACCGGCCACAUUGGGACUGAGAUACGGCCCAGACUCCUACGGGAGGCAGCAGUGGGGAAUAUUGCACAAUGGGCGGAAGCCUGAUGCAGCAACGCCGCGUGCGGGAUGACGGCCUUCGGGUUGUAAACCGCUUUCGCCUGUGACGAAGCGUGAGUGACGGUAAUGGGUAAAGAAGCACCGGCUAACUACGUG